UUGCUCUGAAGAGACCAUGAUGACAGC
This 27-nucleotide non-coding RNA is filed under the name Cricetulus griseus (Chinese hamster). The record is from RNAcentral. Lineage: Eukaryota; Metazoa; Chordata; Mammalia; Rodentia; Cricetidae.